RNAcentral lists this ribosomal RNA (2100 nucleotides) under Muribaculaceae bacterium. RNAcentral's name for it is "partial 23S ribosomal RNA". It matches the Rfam family "Bacterial large subunit ribosomal RNA", at positions 1 to 2100 of the family's 2925-position model. Lineage: Bacteria; Pseudomonadati; Bacteroidota; Bacteroidia; Bacteroidales; Muribaculaceae. The record is from RNAcentral.
ACGGAAUCAACUAAGGGCGCAUGGGGGAUGCCUUGGCUCUCGGAGGCGAAGAAGGACGUGACAAGCUGCGAUAAGCCACGGAGAGGAGCAAAUAUCCUUUGACCCGUGGAUUUCCGAAUGGGGCAACCCACCGGAAGCGAUUCCGGUACCCUCCCGGUGGGAGGGGGCGAACGCAGGGAACUGAAACAUCUAAGUACCUGCAGGAAGAGAAAGUAAAAACGAUUCCCCCAGUAGCGGCGAGCGAACGGGGAAGAGCCCAAACCGGCGGCGUAGCAAUGCGUGUGCCGGGGUUAUAGGACCGUCAACAACGAAUAUGCAGCGAUAGCAGAAGAGCUUGGAAUGGCUCACCGCAGAGGGUGAAAGUCCCGUAAGCGAAAUUGCGCGCAUGUUUAAGGCGGCACCUGAGUAGGCCGGAACACGAGGAAUUCCGGUUGAAUUAUCGGGGACCAUCCCGAAAGGCUAAAUACUACCGAGAGACCGAUAGCGAACCAGUACUGUGAAGGAAAGGUGAAAAGCACCUCGAACAGAGGAGUGAAAAAGACCCUGAAACCAUGCGCCUACAAGCGGUCGGAGCCACUUAGUGUGGUGACGGCGUGCCUUUUGCAUAAUGAACCUGCGAGUUGCCGUCGUCGGCGAGGCUAAGGUCUUCAGGACCGGAGCCGGAGCGAAAGCGAGUCCGAACAGGGCGUUUAGUCGGCGGAGGCAGACGCGAAACCGAGUGAUCUACGCAUGAGCAGGAUGAAGGACAGGUAACACUGUCUGGAGGUCCGAACCGGUAAGCGUUGAAAAGCUUUCGGAUGACUUGUGCGUAGGAGUGAAAGGCCAAUCAAACUCGGAGAUAGCUCGUACUCCCCGAAAUGCAUUUAGGUGCAGCCUCGGGUAAGUACCGCGGAGGUAGAGCGACCGAUAGGAUGCGAGGGCUUCACCGCCUAUCAAGUCCUGACGAACUCCGAAUGCCGCGGUAUGUUGCCCGGGAGUGAGGGCGCGGGUGCUAAGGUCCGCGUCCGAAAGAGGAACAACUCAGACCACCGUCUAAGGCCCCGAAAUCCGGGCUAAGUUGAAGACAAUAACGAGGUGGAGCCGCACAGACAGCUAGGAUGUUGGCUUGGAAGCAGCCAUUCAUUUAAAGAGUGCGUAACAGCUCACUAGUCGAGCGGCUCCGCAUGGAUAAUAAUCGGGCAUAAGUCCGGUGCCGAAGACGUGGGAUUAUCGAACAGAUAAUCGGUAGGGGAGCAUUCCGCCGUCGGUGAAGGUAGGGCGUGAGCUCUGCUGGAGAUGGCGGAAAAGCAAAUGCAGGUAUAAGUAACGACAAAGGGGGCGAGAAACCCCCUCGCCGAAAGACCAAGGGUUCCCGGGCUACGCUAAUCGGCCCGGGGUAAGUCGGGACCUAAGAGCACGCGGAGACGCCCUGCUCGAUGGACAUGCGGUCAAUAUUCCGCAACCCCGGCAUGAUUAGAGACAGCGGUGACGGAGAAGCGAAACAUCUGCGCACUGACGGAAUAGUGCGUUUAACGGUAAAGUCUUAUGCUGCGGCGGAAACGCAGCUGAUGAAGCCGGAAAGUACUCAAGGUGCAUGCACUGAGAGAUAAUGAUGGAGGAGCAGGCUCCCAAGAAAACCCGCGAGUCUUGUCUGACUCAUGCCGGGCCCGUACCGGAAACCGACACAGGUGGUCGGGUAGAAGAUACCAAGGCGCUCGAGAGAUUCACGGUCAAGGAACUAGGCAAAUUGGCCCCGUAACUUCGGGAUAAGGGGCCCUCCCCCCUCAACAAGGGGAGGCGCAGAGAAUAGGUCCAGGCAACUGUUUAGCAAAAACACAGGGCUGUGCGAAGCCGAAAGGCGCGGUAUACAGCCUGACACCUGCCCGGUGCCGGAAGGUUAAGCGGAGCUGUCAGAGCAAUCGAAGCAGUGAAGUGAAGCCCCGGUAAACGGCGGCCGUAACUAUAACGGUCCUAAGGUAGCGAAAUUCCUUGUCGGGUAAGUUCCGACCUGCACGAAUGGUGUAAUGAUCCGGACACUGUCUCGACCGUGAGCUCGGUGAAAUUGUAGUAUCGGUGAAGAUGCCGAUUACCCGCAACGGGACGAAAAGACCCCGUGAACCU